RNAcentral lists this small RNA (755 nucleotides) under Arabidopsis thaliana (thale cress). RNAcentral describes it as "ATSL052730". Lineage: Eukaryota; Viridiplantae; Streptophyta; Magnoliopsida; Brassicales; Brassicaceae. The record is from RNAcentral.
AAUUAUUAAAAAUAUUAAAAUUGUAAACAUACAUCACAUAAAAACAAAACAAACAUAUUAAAUGAAAAACUUGAAUGACGACUAGAAUUAAGCUUGAUUCUGACCAAAUUUUUGCCAUAUAUGUUCAACCAAAUCAGCUUUUAAGUGUUCAUGCUUAGUCCGAUCACGAAGUCGGGUUCGAGUGACCAUCAUAUUACCAAGAUUUGAAGGCAUGUCUGUAGAAUAUAUGAAAACUACUUGUGAAGAACUAGCUGAUUCAGGAUGUGCGAAAUCGGAUACAUCAUACUGAGAAAACAUGAGAUGAAGAAGAUGAUCCAUUGAGGUUGAUCUUCGGAAAAAACAAGAAAAGAGAGAGGAGAGAAAGAACAUUGAAUGAAAGAAAAAAAUCACCAAGAAAGAAAAAAGCAACUUGUUUUGUUUAUUAUGUCACCCAAUUAAAUUAUGCCACGUCAUCGCACCUUAUACACCCAAAAACACCUAAAGCAAAGUGCGAACCUUGCUUAAUAUCACCAUUCUGAAUUAAUUUUUGAUCUUUUUUCUUUAGGUUUCUUCUAAAAAACUCACAAAGUGCUUCCAAUAGACCUGCUCUUAGUAUCUUUUAAAAUAUUUGCUACAGUGAAUAUGUUAUAUAAUAGUGUUUUGAAAUAUUACAUAUUAAGAAUUUAAAUUUGUACAAAAAUUUUAUAUUGAAGUAUUUUGUCAAAAAGUUUUCAUAUAAAUUUAUACUUUUUAUGAUCAUAGAUGGAUACAAACAC